RNAcentral lists this ribosomal RNA (745 nucleotides) under uncultured bacterium. Its description in RNAcentral is "bacterial SSU rRNA". It matches the Rfam family "Bacterial small subunit ribosomal RNA", at positions 100 to 872 of the family's 1533-position model. The record is from RNAcentral.
CGGGGUUAGGAAAUACCUCGGAAACAUACCUGUAGGUCGGGGAUAGCGGCGGGAAACUGCCGGUAAUACCCGAUGAUCUGGAGAGAGCAAAGGUUUACUGCCUGGGGGAGUGGGCCGAGGGCGAUAUUAGCUAGCUGGUGAGGUAAUGGCUCACCAAGGCUUAGAUGUCUAGGGGGCGUGAGAGCGCGACCCCCACCACUGGGACUGAAAAACUGCCCAGACACCUACGGGUGGCUGCAGUCGAGAAUCUUCGUCAAUGGGGGAAACCCUGAACGAGCGACGCCGCGUGUGGGAUGAAGGCCUUUGGGUUGUAAACCACUGUCAGAGGGGAUGAAACCGCAAGGUUGACAGAGCCCCAGAGGAAGCACGGGCUAAGUUCGUGCCAGCAGCCGCGGUAAUACGAACUGUGCGAACGUUAUUCGGAAUCACUGGGCUUACAGGGUGCGUAGGUGGCCGGACAAGUCAGGUGUGAAAUCCCUCAGCUCAACUGAGGAACUGCGCUUGAAACUGUUUGGCUAGAGUGAGCUAGGGGUGCUUGGAACUGCCAGUGGAGCGGUGAAAUGUGUUGAUAUUGGCAGGAACACCGGAGCCGAAAGGGAAGCACUGGGGCUUAACUGACACUGAGGCACGAAAGCCAGGGGAGCAAACGGGAUUAGAUACCCCGGUAGCCCUGGCCGUAAACUAUGAGAACUGGGCGGGGGAGUGCUUGCACAUCCCGGCCGUAGCGAAAGCGUUAAGUCUCCGC